Non-coding RNA from Triticum urartu, 226 nucleotides. The record is from Rfam. NCBI's taxonomy places the organism in Eukaryota, Viridiplantae, Streptophyta, Magnoliopsida, Poales, Poaceae.
CUAAGGAACUCGGCAAAAUAGCCCCAUAACUUCGGGAGAAGGGGUGCCCCCUCACAAAAGGGGGCCACAGUGACUAGGCCCGGCGACUGUUUACCAAAAACACAGGUCUCUGCAAAGUCGUAAGACCAUGUAUGGGUUUGACCAGUAAAGAUCUUCGUAAAAUAUGUAGGAGCAAAUAUGAGCACCUAGGUUCCGCUAUUGAUUAUUGACCGGAGACGUGUCUCGG